AUACUGAGUGUUUUUGGAAGAGUCCUUGUUCCUGAUGCUGGGCAUUUCUGGAAGAGGCCUUUUUCACUGGGGCCUCCCUAAGCAUGGGACUAAGGUGACCGCCAUGAUGAAAGACCAGAUUCUCAUGAAGAAACCGUUUGUGAAGGAUUUUGAUCAGGCAACAUGGGCAUGCAGGUUUAAACACAGCCCCCAGCCUUCCAUGCCUGGCAAGCCACUUUCUCCUAUGUUCAUGCAUGUCUAGAUUUCUCAAUGAAAAACGUAGUUGAACUCAUGAAAGCCUAUCUUUAAAAAAUAUUAAAUAGCUAAUCUUAUAAACCCCUA
RNAcentral lists this long non-coding RNA (321 nucleotides) under Homo sapiens (human). RNAcentral's name for it is "non-protein coding lnc-KIAA1549L-10:1". Lineage: Eukaryota; Metazoa; Chordata; Mammalia; Primates; Hominidae. The record is from RNAcentral.